RNAcentral lists this ribosomal RNA (442 nucleotides) under uncultured Prevotella sp. RNAcentral describes it as "bacterial SSU rRNA". It matches the Rfam family "Bacterial small subunit ribosomal RNA", at positions 355 to 794 of the family's 1533-position model. The record is from RNAcentral. Lineage: Bacteria; Pseudomonadati; Bacteroidota; Bacteroidia; Bacteroidales; Prevotellaceae.
UGAGGAAUAUUGGUCAAUGGGCGGAAGCCUGAACCAGCCAAGUAGCGUGCAGGACGACGGCCCUAUGGGUUGUAAACUGCUUUUAUGCGGGGAUAAAGUGGGCCACGUGUGGCCUUUUGCAGGUACCGCAUGAAUAAGGACCGGCUAAUUCCGUGCCAGCAGCCGCGGUAAUACGGAAGGUCCGGGCGUUAUCCGGAUUUAUUGGGUUUAAAGGGAGCGCAGGCCGCCGGGCAAGCGUGUUGUGAAAUGCAGUCGCUCAACGUCUGCACUGCAGCGCGAACUGGGGGGCUUGAGUGCGCGCAGCGCAGGCGGAACUCGUGGUGUAGCGGUGAAAUGCUUAGAUAUCACGAAGAACUCCGAUCGCGAAGGCAGCCUGCGGGAGCGCAACUGACGCUGAGGCUCGAAAGUGCGGGUAUCGAACAGGAUUAGAUACCCUGGUAGU